This is an RNA transcript of Musa acuminata AAA Group (dessert banana), 1450 nucleotides long. It is a transcript of the gene named purple acid phosphatase 17, with no coding region annotated. The transcript has 8 exons. Lineage: Eukaryota; Viridiplantae; Streptophyta; Magnoliopsida; Zingiberales; Musaceae. The record is from RefSeq and is a predicted model, not a curated record.
UCUAUACAGCCUCCUUUGUCUCAGCUCCUGCUACCGAGCAUGUGUAGCUCUUCCCUGUCGGCCAUGGCCAGUCACGGCAUCAGUUGCAGGAUCAUGGCUGUGGCUCUCGUUCUCUCCCUCGUUUGUUCUUCUCUCAUCGUUUCUUCCACUGCGGAGCUGCAGAAGCUGGAGCACUCGAUCAAGGCCGAUGGAUCUCUGAGCCUUCUGGUCGUCGGCGACUGGGGCAGAAAAGGAGCCUACAAUCAAACACACGUGGCCGCGCAGAUGGGAAAGAUCGGAAAGGAGCUAAACAUAGACUUUGUCGUAUCCACUGGCGACAACUUCUACGAGAAUGGCUUGACAGGAAUCACUGACGAGGCAUUUGAGGACUCGUUCACCAACAUCUACACUGCAGAGAGCUUGCAGAAACAAUGGUACAGUGUUUUGGGGAAUCAUGACUACAGGGGAGAUGUGUUGGCACAGUUGAGCCCUGUGCUGCAAGGUGUUGAUAGCAGAUGGCUGUGCUUGAGGUCUUUCGUCCUUAAUGCAGAAAUUGUGGACUUCUUCUUUGUGGACACGACUCCCUUUGUUGACCAUUACUGGAUCAAUUCCGAGGGUCAUCACUAUGACUGGAGAGAAGUCACUCCACGCCAAACCUAUAUCUCAAGUCUUCUAAAGGAUUUGGAUUCAGCACUGGAAGCAUCAAGGGCAACAUGGAAGGUUGUAGUUGGACACCACACCAUAAGAAGUGUCAGCAUUCAUGGAGACACAAAGGAGCUGCAAACUUCACUUCUCCCAGUUCUUAAGACUCAUGGAGUUGACCUCUAUCUCAAUGGGCAUGACCAUUGCCUAGAACACAUUAGCAGCAAUGACAGUCCAAUCCAAUACCUAACCAGUGGAGGAGGCUCAAAGUCAUGGAGGGGUGUCUUCAAUCCGAGCUCGGACAAGCUUAGAUUCUUCUAUGAUGGCCAAGGGUUCAUGUCCCUGCAGCUGACCAAGACAGCGGCUGAUGUGGUGUUCUAUGAUGCAUUUGGCAGUGUUCUUCACAGAUGGAGAGUGACCAAAGAGCUUCACAGCUCAAUCUAGGAGGAAGAAAGACUGCGGCAUGAUCCUUAAAGCUAUUAUCAAGAUGAUUUCUUAGUGAUUUCCAUAUGCGGGAAACACUUGUCUGAAGAGAAGGCAGAUAUGAAGGUAAGAGAAGGGACCAAGAAUCUACAGCUCAUAGAGAUCCUGCCUGGAUCUUGAAAAUAUUUAUUAAGAUAUCAGACAAGACCUAUAUCCCAUAGCAAAGUAACUAAUCUUUAGAUAACAAUGUGCUAUGCCCUCAAGCACUAGAACAAGGUCCUAAAAGCAUACUUACAUUUAGGUUUCCCCUUUGAUCAUAUCAUGAUUCUGAUGUUUCUCACAAGUCAGUCAAUUCAUACUUGUGGACUAAUUAUGAAGAUUAUUUCCGAACCAAGUUCUUCUUCAA